AUUAGUAAAUUAUACUUCGCGAAGGGGCUCGAGUUAAUUAAUAGAGUAUGUUAGUAUUCACUUUUGUGUGUUGCAUAAUACAAAGUAUAUUGUUAGUUAGGGGUGACAGACUUCUCAAGACUCCCUAUAUCUUGUUUUUUAGGAAAUAUAUUUAGUAUUAACUCAACCUAGAAGUGGCAAGGCUUCUAGGGGUUACAAAUUAUGAUAUGAGUCACAGUAAUUUAUUUAACAAUAUUUAUUUAAUUAAUACCAAUAUAAUGUACUCAGGCUUGUAUAAAUUACUAAAAUGUAUCUGUAAUAAACGAGGGUAUUAUUACUGUUGAUAUAAGUAUUAAUAUAUUUCCCUAAUAGGAACUCGGCAAAUAGUUUCUCAACUGUUUAUCAAAAACAUAGCUGGACGAACUUAACAUCUGGUAAUUUCUGCUCAAUGAUAAUUAAAUAGCCGCAGUACCCUGACUGUGCAAAGGUAGCAUAAUCAUUUGGCUUAUAAUUGAAGUCUGGCAUGAAAGAAUUAAUGGGAAACAACUGUCUUUAGGGGAACCAGAGAAUUUAAUUAGCAAGUGAAAAUGCUUGUUCAUAAAUAAUAGACGAGAAGACCCUAGAAAUUUUUUAUAAUAUAAUAUAUUAUUAAUAUUAUUUUGUUGGGGCGACAGAAUAACAAGGAACUUAUUUUAAACUAUUAGAACUUUAUAUUGAGUAAAAGUAAAUUACUCUAGGGAUAACAGCAUAAUUUAUUAAAGUUUGUGACCUCGAUGUUGGACUAGGGAUUUUACUAUCUAGAAGAUAUUAAACCAGGCUCUGUUCGAGCUUUUUUCCCUACAUGAUCUGAGUUCAGACCGGC
This 841-nucleotide ribosomal RNA is filed under the name Backeljaia camporroblensis. RNAcentral describes it as "partial 16S ribosomal RNA". The stretch from base 366 to 523 matches the Rfam family "Archaeal large subunit ribosomal RNA", at positions 1883 to 2090 of the family's 2987-position model. Lineage: Eukaryota; Metazoa; Mollusca; Gastropoda; Stylommatophora; Geomitridae. The record is from RNAcentral.